Molecule: ribosomal RNA, 253 nt
Filed under: uncultured bacterium
Lineage: Bacteria
Description: partial 16S ribosomal RNA
Rfam family: Bacterial small subunit ribosomal RNA
Source: RNAcentral
CGGGUGAGUAACACGUAUGCAACCUGCCUGCCACAGCCGGAUAAUCGGGAGAAAUUCCGUCUAAUACGGCAUAAUGCAUCGACGGGACAUCCUGUUGGUGCCGAAGGUUGAUUCCGGUGGCGGAUGGGCAUGCGUCGCAUUAGUUAGUUGGCGGUGUAACGGACCACCAAGACGACGAUGCGUAGGGGUUCUGAGAGGAAGGUCCCCCACACUGGUACUGAGACACGGACCAGACUCCUACGGGAGGCAGCAG